CUUGAGUGUGGUAGGGGCAGAGGGAAUUCCCGGUGUAGCGGUGAAAUGCGUAGAUAUCGGGAAGAACACCAGUGGCGAAGGCGCUCUGCUGGGCCAUCACUGACGCUCAUGGACGAAAGCCAGGGGAGCGAAAGGGAUUAGAUACCCCCUGUAGUCCUGGCCGUAAACGAUGAACACUAGGUGUCGGGGGAAUCGACCCCUCCGGUGUCGUAGCCAACGCGUUAAGUGUUCCGCCUGGGGAGUACGCACGCAAGUGUGAAACUCAAAGGAAUUGACGGGGGCCCGCACAAGCGGUGGAGUAUGUGGUUUAAUUCGAUGCAACGCGAAGAACCUUACCAGGGUUUGACAUCCUGCGAAUCUCUUGGAAACUUGAGAGUGCCUCCGGGAGCGCAGUGACAGGUGGUGCAUGGCUGUCGCCAGCUCGUGUCGUGAGAUGUUGGGUUAAGUCCCGCAACGAGCGCAACCCACGUCUUUAGUUGCCAGCAUUUAGUUGGGCACUCUAGAGAGACCGCCGGUGAUAAACCGGAGGAAGGUGUGGAUGACGUCAAGUCAUCAUGCCCCUUACAUCCUGGGCUACACACGUACUACAAUGCUACGGACAAAGGGCAGCAAGUUCGCGAGGGCAAGCAAAUCCCAUAAACCGUGGCUCAGUUCAGAUCGUAGGCUGCAACUCGCCUACGUGAAGGAGGAAUCGCUAGUAAUCGCAGGUCAGCAUACUGCGGUGAAUACGUUCCCGGGCCUUGUACACACCGCCCGUCACACCAUGGAAGUUGGCCACGCCCGAAGCCGUUACUCCAACCCUUGUGGAGGAGGACGUCGAAGGUGGGGCUGAUGACUGGGGUGAAGUCGUAACAAGGUAGCCGUA
RNAcentral lists this ribosomal RNA (865 nucleotides) under uncultured bacterium. RNAcentral describes it as "bacterial SSU rRNA". It matches the Rfam family "Bacterial small subunit ribosomal RNA", at positions 641 to 1504 of the family's 1533-position model. The record is from RNAcentral.